GUGCUAUACAUGCAAGUCGAGCGCACUGGCCCAGCUGAUAUGACGUGCUUGCACUGAUUUGACGAUGGAUUACCAGUGAGCGGCGGACGGGUGAGUAACACGUGGGCAACCUGCCCUGGAGCGGGGGAUAACAUCUGGAAACAGGUGCUAAUACCGCAUGACUACUAAAACCACCUGGUUUUAGUAUAAAAGAAGGCUUCGGCUUUCACUCUAGGAUGGGCCCGCGGUGCAUUAGCUAGUUGGUAAGGUAACGGCUUACCAAGGCGAUGAUGCAUAGCCGAGUUGAGAGACUGAUCGGCCACAAUGGAACUGAGACACGGUCCAUACUCCUACGGGAGGCAGCAGUAGGGAAUCUUCCACAAUGGGCGCAAGCCUGAUGGAGCAACACCGCGUGAGUGAAGAAGGGUUUCGGCUCGUAAAGCUCUGUUGUUGAAGAAGAACGUGCGUGAGAGUAACUGUUCACGCAGUGACGGUAUUCAACCAGAAAGUCACGGCUAACUACGUGCCAGCAGCCGCGGUAAAAAAA
RNAcentral lists this ribosomal RNA (526 nucleotides) under Limosilactobacillus frumenti. Its description in RNAcentral is "bacterial SSU rRNA". It matches the Rfam family "Bacterial small subunit ribosomal RNA", at positions 44 to 528 of the family's 1533-position model. The record is from RNAcentral. Lineage: Bacteria; Bacillati; Bacillota; Bacilli; Lactobacillales; Lactobacillaceae.